GGAGAGAUGGCCGAGCGGUCUAAGGCGCGCCCCUGGAAAGGGCGUACAUGGGAAACUGUGUCGCGAGUUCGAAUCUCGCUCUCUCCGCCA
Molecule: transfer RNA, 90 nt
Filed under: Holosporaceae bacterium
Lineage: Bacteria; Pseudomonadati; Pseudomonadota; Alphaproteobacteria; Holosporales; Holosporaceae
Description: tRNA-Ser
Rfam family: tRNA
About the family: Transfer RNA (tRNA) molecules are approximately 80 nucleotides in length.
Source: RNAcentral